AUUGAACGCUGGCGGCAGGCCUAACACAUGCAAGUCGAGCGGAUGAAGGGAGCUUGCUCCUGGAUUCAGCGGCGGACGGGUGAGUAAUGCCUAGGAAUCUGCCUGGUAGUGGGGGAUAACGUCCGGAAACGGGCGCUAAUACCGCAUACGUCCUGAGGGAGAAAGUGGGGGAUCUUCGGACCUCACGCUAUCAGAUGAGCCUAGGUCGGAUUAGCUAGUUGGUGGGGUAAAGGCCUACCAAGGCGACGAUCCGUAUCUGGUCUGAGAGGAUGAUCAGUCACACUGGAACUGAGACACGGUCCAGACUCCUACGGGAGGCAGCAGUGGGGAAUAUUGGACAAUGGGCGAAAGCCUGAUCCAGCCAUGCCGCGUGUGUGAAGACGGUCUUCGGAUUGUAAAGCACUUUAAGUUGGGAGGAAGGGCAGUAAGUUAAUACCUUGCUGUUUUGACGUUACCAACAGAAUAAGCACCGGCUAACUUCGUG
This 484-nucleotide ribosomal RNA is filed under the name uncultured bacterium. RNAcentral's name for it is "partial 16S ribosomal RNA". It matches the Rfam family "Bacterial small subunit ribosomal RNA", at positions 30 to 507 of the family's 1533-position model. The record is from RNAcentral.